GCGGCCUUAGCUCAGCUGGUAGAGCCCUGGUUUGUGGUACCAGUGGUCGCGGGUUCGAGCCCCGCAGGUCGCC
RNAcentral lists this transfer RNA (73 nucleotides) under Minisyncoccota bacterium. RNAcentral's name for it is "tRNA-His". It matches the Rfam family "tRNA". Rfam says of the family: Transfer RNA (tRNA) molecules are approximately 80 nucleotides in length. Their secondary structure includes four short double-helical elements and three loops (D, anti-codon, and T loops). Further hydrogen bonds mediate the characteristic L-shaped molecular structure. tRNAs have two regions of fundamental functional importance: the anti-codon, which is responsible for specific mRNA codon recognition, and the 3' end, to which the tRNAs corresponding amino acid is attached (by aminoacyl-tRNA synthetases). tRNAs cope with the degeneracy of the genetic code in two manners: having more than one tRNA (with a specific anti-codon) for a particular amino acid; and 'wobble' base-pairing, i.e. permitting non-standard base-pairing at the 3rd anti-codon position. The record is from RNAcentral. Lineage: Bacteria; Bacillati; Minisyncoccota.